This is a non-coding RNA of Benincasa hispida (wax gourd), 2468 nucleotides long. NCBI's taxonomy places the organism in Eukaryota, Viridiplantae, Streptophyta, Magnoliopsida, Cucurbitales, Cucurbitaceae. The record is from RefSeq and is a predicted model, not a curated record.
CAUCCCUUCCACAACUUUCCUCUCCUUUCUCUCCAUUUUGGAUGCUACAGAACUCUACACAAGAUGACCAAUCAUUCUCCAAAUUUCUUACGAGGUGAAUCUUCUAUCGGAUGCACAUGAUACUCCGAGAGGAUUCCUAGUGACUAGUGGCAACUUGACGAACCCUGUGAAGACGAAAAGAAGUCCCAAAAUCUUUAGUAGACCAGAAGAACAUCACACACUCAAUAGCGUUCAUUUCUUCUCUCUAUUCUUCUUCUCUCCUUGCCCUAUCUCUUUGACUCUCACAUGGAAUCUUCAUCGUGUUCUUUCUCUAGCGAAAUAGUCAAGAAGGUGGUGAUCUACAUUUCUCUCUCUCGCACUCAAAAUUUUGCCAUUUCCUUAUUUGAACUUCUCUUUUGUUCUUCCAAUUCCCAAUCUCUCGUCUUUUUUUUCUUGCUUACGAGGUAAUUUUCUUCAACUUUAUAAUGGUUCCUCAAGUUUAUGUGUGGUUUGAGCAUAAUUUUGAAAUGGGGUUUUCUUCUUUUGAGUAUUUUGAAUUAAAUUGUUUUGUUAGUAAGCAUUUAGACUUAUGAGUAUUUUUGUAUUAGGAUAAUCUUUCAAAAUUAUUCAUUUUUGUUCUUUCUUUUUUCUUUUGUUGUUUUACCGAUAACCAAAUAGAGGUUGUUUUUAUUAUGUCCUUUUACUUGUAGGGUGUUGUAUUUUUUUGUUCUCUUUCCAUUUGAUCUACUUGACUUUUGUUUGCUCUUCUAGUUUGAGUAUGGUUUGAUGGCUAAAGAUUUGGAUAAUUUUUUCACCGAUCUAAACUAAUAUGCCUUCUUUUGGGUUUUAGAUUUUUUUGGUUUCUUUCUUAUCCCGGUUUUCCCCCUUCUGCAACCCCUUGAAAUUUCCUUUUAUUGAUUGCAACUUCUGAUUGUGUUAUUGAACAUCUUUUUGCAAAUUAUUAUUUAUGUAGGAAAUUUGGAGGUCUUAAGACAUGUUAGAUUAUGAUGUGCAAUAAUGGUUGCCAUAUGGAAUUUGCAAGUCCUAACUUCGUGAUGGACACAGAGGAUUUAUCUGAAUUUUAAUAUUUUGUCUUGCUAUUUUGAAGUUAUAUGUCGUUACAUACCUAGAUUUCUCUUGAUGCCAAUAUUCGUCCACAUUUAAGUUACGUUUUGUUAAAAAACGAGAGAGUGGAGUUUGAAGAACAAUCCCCACACAGAUAUAGCUUAAAACAUGAAGCUACAAACAAGUUGGUACUUCUGCUUUUUGUGUCAUAUUUGCAACAACUAUGUGGAGGCAGUUCUUAAUUAUUUGGGUGCUUCAAAUAAUAUGACCUUCCCAAAUCUGUAUGAUUUUUUUUUCUCAUUAGGCCUGCAGGUAGAGGAAACCUCCACCCAAAGGAGCUAAGUUUAGGGGUUGUCCCAUUGUUUAAUGAUUUUAGGUUUCUUUUAGAAAUGAUGUGACACCGGAGUUAGGAUUGGUACAUGAUUGAACGGAGAUCACAUUUGAAUAAGAGGGAUUUAUUAGGAGUGUUGUUAAGGAAGAUGGACAUAAUAAUGAGACGAGCCUGUGGGAUAGGAAAAUUUUUGGUUAAAAAAGAUGGAGUAUGAAGAAAGGUCUCUUGUUAUGGUAUUUGGAGGAGACAUCCGAUUUGUGGUGUCUACAAGAAACCCUAUUUUUAUCUCCACAGCAAAUCGAGAAAAUCAAAACAGAGCAAUGGAUGGAAGCAGAAGGAAAAAUAGAAGGAAAAGUUACAAAAGAAGCGUUGUGUAAUGAUCAACACCACAACAAAUAUAAGUUUCAUUGCAUUCAGGAAUCAAUUCAAAGCCAUUACUCUGAUAUAUUUUCUCUCGAUUGAAACCACGGGUUCAUUUAUCAAUCUCAAACCAUGGAAGCACAGUUUUAGGACAGAUGUAGUUACCACGACUUACCAAGAUAAACUAUGACAACUGGAGUAUUCAAAUGUGUGUCUUGCUCGAUGCUCAAGACACAUGGGAAGUAGUUGAAGAAGGUCUUGAAGAGGAGGUUCCAAUUGCAAAUCCGAUAGCAAACCAAUUGAGGGCAAUAAAAGAAAUGCGCAUGAAAGACAAAAUCGCUCUCUAUCUCAUGUUCCAAGUUGUGGAUGAGUCAGGUUUCGAGAAAAUUGCAGGUGAAAAGACAUCGAAAGAAGCGUGGGAUACACUGUAGAAGGUUUUCAAGGAUGUUGAUCAAGUCAAACAACUGCGGCUCCAAACCCUUCAAGGCGAAUUGGAAACCAUGAAAAUGGAGUCAGAAGGUGUAUCUGACUACAUCACCCGAGUUCAAACGGUGGUGAACCAACUUAAACACAAUGGAGAAACUCUUGAGGAUGCAAGGUUCCCUUGAGGAAACUAGAAAGUUGAGGUUGUAUUGUUUUUUUUCUUUAUCUUUAUGUAAAUUUUACAACAUGUCGACCCCACAAAAAAUAUGGUUAUUUUUAUGAAAUGUUAUAUUGAUUGAAGCAUCCCAUU